RNAcentral lists this long non-coding RNA (3228 nucleotides) under Sus scrofa (pig). RNAcentral describes it as "lncRNA (ENSSSCG00040002090.1)". Lineage: Eukaryota; Metazoa; Chordata; Mammalia; Artiodactyla; Suidae. The record is from RNAcentral.
AGACGUGAGGUCCCUCAGGCUGCUACCUGCUUGGUGUGUGAAGAUUCAGCAUAAGAAGGCACUUAAAGAAUUCUAAACUUUUGGGACUCCAGUACCUGACAUUUUAGGGAUCCAUUGGGUAGAAAGAAGGCUAGGGGUUGGGAGCUCCACAGCAGUCUGCAGUCUCUCUGAUCAGCUGUAAGAGGUGUUGACUUUAGGUACCAAGAGUUCUGCGGUGUUCAUUGAUGGGCUUGAAAGCAGCACUUCAACUGUGAGUGCUGUGAGUGCUGCUACGUCAGAUGAUAACUAUUUUAAAGUAUUCUUGGCUUAAUUGAUUUCUGUUUAUCCUUAUUAUAGUUUCUUUAAAAGUAAUUAAGAUUUGAAGUAAAAGAAAAAUCAUUUUGGCACAAAGACUGACACUCACAUACUGUGUUGACACUUAGAAAAGAAGAAAGUGCCUGCCUCAAGGAGUUGGAAUUGUUUGGUGCCUAAUGGGUCAAGUUCAUGAUACCCUUCAGCUCUCUCUUUUAGAGAGCUGAAACCACUGGGCAUGGUACUGGAUUAAAAAUUGAGAUCAAUGCAUACAUAAACCUAGCUUUUUCAAAUAAAUGGGCACCUUUUCCCUUCAUUGCUGAGUUUUUAUCAGAUUUGACAUUUAUGUCUCAUAAAUCUCAGGCCUGGAUGGAUAUGCACAAUAGUUUUGAUGUAGUUGAUGUUUUAAUAACUUGGUUUACCAUAGUUUUUAUUCCAAGUAUGGUUUUACACAGUCUGAAGAAUGUCAGAGAUAGAAUCUCUUUGAACCAGAGAAAAGUUAAUUCCAUUGAAAGAACAGAGUGGUGUUAACUGGAAGAUGGACUUGCAUAGAACUAGAAGAAAUAGGAAGAAACCUAGAUUGAAAACCAUGCAAAACUGGCAGGUCAAAUGUAAGAUGACAGACGUACCUUUGAGUGUUUGCAGAUAGAUGCCUCACUUGAGAGCCACUCUUUACAGGCAUCUUGGCCCAUGAGCUGUAAAGGAUCAGUCUUAUCCUGGAAUGGUGUGUGUUGAAACUCACCUCAGCCCUGGAACAGCUGCACGUUCUUAACUCCCCAGCCAUGGGAUAUCCAGAAACUCAGCUUCGAGCCAUUUUACAUAGCCACGAAAUCCUGGGACCCCACAGCCAAGAGCAGGAGAAAUUGAAGUCCUACAGUCAGAAGGCAGUGUUGUGGACAGAGGCACAGACACAAAUGAGACUUUGAGCUGCUGGCCCAUCAGCGAUACCCUCAGCUGUCCGCAGGGCCACAGGUUUUGUACCCUUAGUUGGAUAUUCUUGCGCUGGCCUCAUACAACUCCAAGGAUCUGUCAACUGAUACUUGGGUCAGUUGUAAGGGGAUUUAUACUGGAAUUCUUUGCCUAGCAUUAAGUAAGCAAUUACAAAAUCAUAAAGAUGUCAGUACCAAAAGAAAUCCUUUGGACUUUCUUGGAUGUACAUUUCUGUAGCUCCCCAGCUCCUGGGCAACCUGGAGAUUGGCCUUCAGCAAUGAACUCUGAGUCCUGCCACCCUUGGGUUUCCCACUGGGACAUCAUCGGCAGAAACAGUGGCUCACAACCAUCUCUGUUCUUUUUCAGCUGAUGGCAUUUAUUUGCCUUUGAGUUUAAAGUUCUGUUCAGAACUGACAACAGAAAUAGCUUAUUUUUGACCACCCUGGCACAUCAGAAAACCUGGGUCAGAACAUUUUAACACCAAUGCUGUCCUCAUGGAGGCCGGAAAGUAGCAAGAGAAUGAGUUAGUAGUGGGAAUUAUGUCAAGGAAAAUUGUGCACCCUUCCUCCUUGUGGACCAGCAGCACAUGAACAGGAAGCGACACCAUCCGGAACCACCAGGAGAGACGGAGUGAGACCCCAGACCGCCAAGCAUCAAGCCUCUAGAGCAGUCUUCCUUAGGACAACUCACCAUUAUUUGAAGAACUUCAGUCAGAUGUCUCUUUGCCCCAAAGAGUUUAGCCUAAAUACUUUUCACCUCAGUGUCUCUUGGGUCAAGUCUUAGCAUCCACCUCAGAAGCCUGGUACUGCUGAGACACAGCACCACCCCCAUAUCUGGUCGUCUUUCCCAGGUGAAUGAAAACAAGAGUUUUUGGAUUAAUGGAAGAAAUCACCUGUUAAGCUUUGUUCUUCAAUCUCCUGCCCAUUACCAUAACCCCUUUAAUUUUUCUUCUAAGUAGACAGUCCAUGUUAAUGAAAUGUGCUUUUGGCUGAGUUGGGGAAUUCAGAGUUAGGGUUUCUACAUUGGUGACCAGUCAACCCUACUGCAUGUGCAUCUUCAAGCCUCAAAGUUUUCAUGUGAACAAGAACAGCCUCCUGGUCCCAGGGUGGUGGUUAUAAAGUUUACUCUGAGGACAAAGGCCUUGAUUCACAGAUACUUUUUCCUGAGUGACAGUCACUAAGUACCCUUAAUGAGGAUUUUGGUGGUUCUCAAGCUGCCUGAAAGUGAAUUUGGCUCCAGUCCCUGAAGGGCAGGCUUGCAUCCGCAUCAAGCAGCUUGGUCCGAGGUAGUUGCCCAGGGCCCAUACUGGCUUUGCAGACAUCCUCCUUUGUGUGCAGCAUGGAGCCAGGAGUACCAAAUGGACUUCAGUUGAACACCUUCAGGCUUCUGACAGCAUUUCCACCCCACAGUAUUGGUGUUUGUUUGCAUAUCUUUCUCUUGCCAGAAAUUUGCUUUGGGAGAGUUAACGCAAACAGCAUUAUGGUGUCUUUUUCAUAUUACAAUUACAGAUUUAUAGAACGCGUGUAAACUUGGAACCUGACCUCAGACCUGCAGGGGUAAAUAAGAGGGCAAGUUGGGGAAGUUCCUGUUGUGGCUCUUCGGAAAUGACUGACUAGCAUUCCUGAGGAUGCAGGUUUGAUUCCUGGCCUUGCUCAGUGGGUUAAGGAUCUGGCGUUGCCAUGAGUUGUGUAGGUUACAGAUAUGGCUCAGAACCGGUGUUGCUGUGGCUCUGACGUAGGCUGGCAGCUACAGCUCUGAUUCUAUGCCUAACCUGGGAACCUCCAUAUGCCACGGAUGCAGCCCUAAAAAGACAAAAGAAGAAGAAAGAAGGCAAGUUGGUGUUGCUCAAGCUUAUAAGGGUUUAUCACUUUUUUCCCUCAGCUUUAUUGAGAUGUAACUGACAUGUAACAUGGUGUAAGUCGAAGGUGUACAAUGUGAUUAUAUUUAACACAUAUAAUAUUGUGAAGUGAUUACAACAGUAAGAUUAGUAAACAUGUCCCCGACCUC